Molecule: long non-coding RNA, 622 nt
Organism: Pseudophryne corroboree (corroboree frog)
Lineage: Eukaryota; Metazoa; Chordata; Amphibia; Anura; Myobatrachidae
Exons: 3
Source: RefSeq, a predicted model, not a curated record
GUGCUCUGGUGGAGCGUCUUGGUGGUGAUGAGACUGGCGUGACAUUUGGAGUAGUCGUACCAGAACUGCUGCUUGUUUGCGGUUGGUGCAUGCAUCUGAGUGUUUCAUUCAGCAUCUUACACACAAUGUCAUACUGUAUGGCUCAAGUGGACAUACAUAUCUUUACUGGAUGUGGACAAGGACAUUUAGAUUGGAUUACAUUUCAGCUUUUACUUACUGCGUUUGAUACUCACAAUCAAGAUGAGGGGAGUGUGGAUGACGCCUUGGAGGUGUGUCCAAAAUUUGGAGUGGGGGGAAAGAACAUACGGACGAUAAUCUUCGUGGCAGGGUAGCCUGCUGUGUUUGGGCCGGAACAUACGACCUUGCUUUCUUUUCGGCCACAGGUUUUUUGUGGUGAUGUCUUUCAGAAGUGCCACUUCUGCUGCUCCAUACUUCUUUUGAUGGACCUUUUAAUGAAAGUGCAAUUUGGUUAUGGCCAUUCCUUUACAAGCAUACCCUAUACUACAAUGGACACUUUACCUGCUUCCGCAGCAUCAUCAUCAUCCGAUGUGAUAGGAGUUACUGGCCGACGAGGAGUGCUGCUUUUUUCAGACACUGUAUAAAAUGAAUUAUAAUAAAAAAU